RNAcentral lists this ribosomal RNA (471 nucleotides) under uncultured bacterium. Its description in RNAcentral is "bacterial SSU rRNA". It matches the Rfam family "Bacterial small subunit ribosomal RNA", at positions 355 to 825 of the family's 1533-position model. The record is from RNAcentral.
UCGAGAAUCUUUCACAAUGGGGGCAACCCUGAUGGAGCGACGCCGCGUGGAGGAUAAGGUCUUCGGAUUGUAAACUCCUGUCAUGCGAGAACAAGGUUGUAGAGUUAAUAGCUUUGCAAAUUGAUGGUACCGCAAGAGGAAGAGACGGCUAACUCUGUGCCAGCAGCCGCGGUAAUACAGAGGUCUCAAGCGUUGUUCGGAAUCACUGGGCGUAAAGGGUGCGUAGGUGGCGUGGUAAGUCAGAUGUGAAAGCCCGGGGCUCAACCUCGGAAUUGCAUCCGAUACUGCCGUGCUAGAGUACUGAAGAGGUGACUAGAAUUCUCGGUGUAGCAGUGAAAUGCGUAGAUAUCGAGAGGAAUACCAACGGCGAAGGCAGGUCACUGGGCAGUUACUGACACUGAGGCACGAAGGCCAGGGGAGCAAACGGGAUUAGAUACCCUGGUAGUCCCUGAGCGGGCUGGCAAGGCGCAU